Long non-coding RNA from Anolis sagrei ordinatus, 670 nucleotides. RefSeq lists it as uncharacterized. Lineage: Eukaryota; Metazoa; Chordata; Lepidosauria; Squamata; Anolidae. The record is from RefSeq and is a predicted model, not a curated record.
CUUCCAGAGGCCUGUCUUGAAGCUUGGCCUGAGGAAACAAAACAACACCCACCACAGCAUGGGAGAAAGAGUGGCAUGUGACCUUCACCUUGGCUUCAAGGAUGGAAACAGUGCCAACUAAGGACCAAGGACCAAAAGACAAGUGUGGUGAACACAUCACUCUGAGCUUUUUCAUGGGGAACAAAUACUCCCAUUCAAUCAACAGCAACAUGAGUUGGCCUUUCAUAGCUCCAACUCCAGCAGGUGUAAGAUUUCCAUUGUUUCGAAAUCCAUGUGAUCAGCUGGCGGAUUUGAGAGAUUUAAGACUGACACACGUACACAUGAGAAUGAAUGAGAAGAAAUGGAACACGUGCGUUAAAGAGCUUUACUGGAAGAAUAAGCCAGGAUAAACUUAUCACUGCUGGGCCUUAAUGUUCUUUUCUGCCUCAAAGUGAUAUUAACACUUCCAGAGAAUGAACGUAAUGGGUAAUUGAAAGCAUUCUUGUUUAUGAGUUAGCUGCUUAAUUUCCAUGAAUGGCAACAAAAGAUUAGUGCAACCACAAAGCAUUCUCAAAAGGCAAAAUGACCUUUCUGUGGUAAGUUGGGGACCAUCUGUGUUUUAAUUACAACCCUGAAGAGAUUCUGGCAAGGUUAAUAAUGUAACCCAAUAAAUCCAGUAGCCUAAGAAAAA